GGUGAUGUCGACAUAGUGGUUUGAGUGUUGGACUGUGACUCUGGAAACCAGGGUUCGAUUCCCAGCUCAACCA
Non-coding RNA from Phrynosoma platyrhinos (Desert horned lizard), 73 nucleotides. NCBI's taxonomy places the organism in Eukaryota, Metazoa, Chordata, Lepidosauria, Squamata, Phrynosomatidae. The record is from the annotation of a GenBank genome assembly.